CUCUUGCCUGCUGCCAUGUAAGAUAUGACUGUGGUCCUCCUUCACCUUCUGCCAUGAUUGUGAGGCCUCCACAGCCAUGUGGAACUAGAAGCUGUUUUUCCCUCUUUGGGGUCUCAGAGAGAUUGGUGGCAAGGACUCCUGGGAAGAGAAAAGCUGAAAGACACUCUGGCAAGAGAUGGAGACAGAAACUUGAGUGGGCUCAGGAAUAUGUGUUUUUAAAAUUCUCCAGAAGAUUUUAAUGCAGUACAAGUAAGAAGACAGGACUGCAAUUCACAAGAACAGUAUAGCCUGGGGAUUCCUCAGAACAGAACAGACUCAAAAAAAAAGAAAAAAAAGAAGACAAAAAC
This 347-nucleotide long non-coding RNA is filed under the name Pan troglodytes (chimpanzee). RNAcentral's name for it is "lincRNA". The record is from RNAcentral. Lineage: Eukaryota; Metazoa; Chordata; Mammalia; Primates; Hominidae.